AGCAUCUAAGCAUGAAGCCCCCCUCAAGAUGAGAUUUCCCAUAGCGUUAAGCUAGUAAGAUCCCUGAAAGAUGAUCAGGUUGAUAGGUUCGAGGUGGAAGCGUGGUGACACGUGGAGCUGACGAAUACUAAUAGAUCGAGGACUUAAUCAA
Molecule: ribosomal RNA, 151 nt
Filed under: Bacillus sp. 491mf
Lineage: Bacteria; Bacillati; Bacillota; Bacilli; Caryophanales; Bacillaceae
Description: 23S rRNA. Bacterial LSU
Rfam family: Bacterial large subunit ribosomal RNA
Source: RNAcentral